AUUGAACGCUGGCGGCAGGCCUAACACAUGCAAGUCGAGCGGAUGAAGGGAGCUUGCUCCUGGAUUCAGCGGCGGACGGGUGAGUAAUGCCUAGGAAUCUGCCUGGUAGUGGGGGAUAACGUCCGGAAACGGGCGCUAAUACCGCAUACGUCCUGAGGGAGAAAGUGGGGGAUCUUCGGACCUCACGCUAUCAGAUGAGCCUAGGUCGGAUUAGCUAGUUGGUGGGGUAAAGGCCUACCAAGGCGACGAUCCGUAACUGGUCUGGGAGGAUGAUCAGUCACACUGGAACUGAGACACGGUCCAGACUCCUACGGGAGGCAGCAGUGGGGAAUAUUGGACAAUGGGCGAAAGCCUGAUCCAGCCAUGCCGCGUGUGUGAAGAAGGUCUUCGGAUUGUAAAGCACUUUAAGUUGGGAGGAAGGGCAGUAAGUUAAUACCUUGCUGUUUUGACGUUACCAACAGAAUAAGCACCGGCUAACUUCGCG
Molecule: ribosomal RNA, 484 nt
Filed under: uncultured bacterium
Lineage: Bacteria
Description: partial 16S ribosomal RNA
Rfam family: Bacterial small subunit ribosomal RNA
Source: RNAcentral